AGUAACGUACAGAAACUUGCCAGUACUCAUUAGAACCCGUGUCGUAAUCUGUUGUUAAACGCGUUAGCAGCCGAGCAGAGAAAGUUUUCAGACUGAAUUCAACGAACAGACUGAAUUCUCUUUCCUCUUAUUUCUCUGUAUUCUCUGUCAAGACAACGCAGCAUCAACUAUUACGAGUAUUCCAUUCUGUUCAGCAAUGAACAACAAUCUCUGGCUAUCGUGUGCUACAAUUCAAAAUGUGAUGCUACAUCUUCUUGUCGGUGUUGUUGUACUCUUAAUAUAUUUGCCUGUGACAAACAUUAUAAUUGAAUUAUAACUAGUGGGACAAGACAGUGACAAAAACACACAUUUGGUCGCAAAAUCAAACGAAGAAAUAAUUUCGACGCGGAAUUGGUUGACGACAUAUUGACUUCUAAGAUUGCUCCAUUAUAAAAGCCAGGAGGAGACGUAACUUAUGUUUACCACCUUUGGUCUUCGCACGCAUUCGAGUUUCUCAUAAAUUUUUCCGACACCCUCUGUAUCGAUUUUACCUGCGUCAAUACGGUUUUAAGACGAGACGCAGAAAGUCACCUUGGCCGAAUAUUCCAGCGACUAAUCGGAAACGUACGCGGAACGUUCUAAUUAGCGAAAACGGUUUCGCACGUUUUGGGCAUUAUUUGGAUAUAUGUACAUAUCCGUAAAAAAUCCUCCAUUUCAGUAAAAAAGUGUCAAAAAUUGUCUGGAAUUAGUCAAAUUCAAGUAUAUUUGAGAAAUCUUCAAGGUUAAUUCUCUCAAAAACUAUAAUAAAAAUAA
Long non-coding RNA from Bombus terrestris (buff-tailed bumblebee), 792 nucleotides. RefSeq lists it as uncharacterized. NCBI's taxonomy places the organism in Eukaryota, Metazoa, Arthropoda, Insecta, Hymenoptera, Apidae. The transcript has 5 exons. The record is from RefSeq and is a predicted model, not a curated record.